This 364-nucleotide ribosomal RNA is filed under the name uncultured phototrophic eukaryote. RNAcentral's name for it is "SSU rRNA". It matches the Rfam family "Bacterial small subunit ribosomal RNA", at positions 524 to 896 of the family's 1533-position model. The record is from RNAcentral.
UACGGGGGAUGCAAGCGUUAUCCGGAAUUAUUGGGCGUAAAGCGCCUGUAGGUGGUUUACUAAGUCUGUUGUUAAAGACUAGGGCUUAACCCUAGAGCAGCAAUGGAAACUAAUAAACUUGAGUAUGGCAGGGGUAGAGGGAAUUUCUAGUGUAGCGGUGAAAUGCGUAGAUAUUAGAAAGAACACCAGUGGCGAAAGCGCUCUACUGGGCCAUUUCUGACACUCAGAGGCGAAAGCUAGGGGAGCAAAAGGGAUUAGAUACCCCUGUAGUCCUAGCCGUAAACGAUGGAUACUAGAUGUUGUGAUACCAGUAUCGUAGCUAACGCGUUAAGUAUCCCGCCUGGGGAGUACGCUCGCAAGGGUG